AACGGUCUAUACCUGCGGUACCUGCGGAGGGAUCAUUAAAAAGAGUUGCAAAACUCCUUUUAAACCCUUGUCGGAUGUUUCUGCAUCGCAGCUCCCUCGGUGGGAGGUUGGAGAGAGAUGGAUCGCAGUGCCUGUGGCGUUUCGAGAGAAACACAUAUCCGCUGCAGUUUUCCCCUCUUUCCAGCGCCCGCCGAAGGGGAUGUACCCCAAAAUUCUACCAAACUUGCAAAUCAGAGUCAU
RNAcentral lists this unclassified non-coding RNA (240 nucleotides) under soil metagenome. RNAcentral's name for it is "partial contains 5.8S ribosomal RNA, internal transcribed spacer 2, and large subunit ribosomal RNA". The record is from RNAcentral.